GUGAGGAAUAUUGCGCAAUGGAGGCAACUCUGACGCAGCCAUGCCGCGUGCAGGAAGAAGGCGCUACGCGUUGUAAACUGCUUUUAACCGGGAAGAAACCCCAGGACGUGUCCUGGGUUGACGGUACCGGAGGAAUAAGCCCCGGCUAACUUCGUGCCAGCAGCCGCGGUAAUACGAAGGGUGCAAGCGUUAUCCGGAUUCAUUGGGUUUAAAGGGUGCGGAGGCGGAGCGUUAAGUCAGUGGUGAAAUCCUGCAGCUUAACUGUAGACGUGCCAUUGAUACUGGCGCUCUUAGGUGCGCUUGAAGUGGGCGGAAUGUGCCGUGUAGCGGUGAAAUGCUUAGAUAUGGCACAGAACACCAAUUGCGAAGGCAGCUCACUAAGGCGAUACUGACGCUGAGGCACGAAAGCGUGGGGAUCGAACAGGAUUAGAAACCCCGGUAGUCC
RNAcentral lists this ribosomal RNA (445 nucleotides) under uncultured bacterium. RNAcentral's name for it is "partial 16S ribosomal RNA". It matches the Rfam family "Bacterial small subunit ribosomal RNA", at positions 354 to 796 of the family's 1533-position model. The record is from RNAcentral.